GACGAACGCUGGCGGCGUGCUUAACACAUGCAAGUCGAACGGAAAGGCCCCCUUCUGGGGUCCUCGAGUUGCGAACGGGUGGGUAACACGUCAGUAACCUACCCUUGAUUUUGGGAUAACUUCACUAAACUGGGGCUAAUCUCGUAUAGGAGCUUCUUCUGCAUGGUGGGGUUCGGAAAUUUUCGGCGGUCUUGGAUUGACUGGUAGCUUAUCCCCUGCUUGGUGGGGUAGUUGCUCACCAAGGCGUUGACGGGUAGCCGGCCUGAGAGGGGGACCGGCGACAUUGGGACUGAGAGACGGCGCAGAAGCGUACGGGAGGCAGCAGGGGGGAAUAUGGCGCAGUGGGCGGAAGCCUGAUGCGGCAGCGUUGCGUGCGGGAUGCCGGCCUUCGGGGGGUAAACCGAUGUGUACUGUGACGAAGAGUGAGUGACGGUAAUGGGUAAGAAAGCACCGGCUAACUACGUG
This 465-nucleotide ribosomal RNA is filed under the name uncultured bacterium. RNAcentral describes it as "partial 16S ribosomal RNA". It matches the Rfam family "Bacterial small subunit ribosomal RNA", at positions 28 to 507 of the family's 1533-position model. The record is from RNAcentral.